Molecule: non-coding RNA, 132 nt
Organism: Caenorhabditis elegans
Lineage: Eukaryota; Metazoa; Nematoda; Chromadorea; Rhabditida; Rhabditidae
Source: Ensembl
UGGAAACAAAAGCAAAUAAAAAUCGAAUUAUGUCCUGUGCCAGAUGGUGUCGAUUUACAAGCUGUAGAGUGAGAGGGUACUCUGGAAGGAAAGGGAAAUCCAACUGAAUUGGCAACACUUAUCUGGAGGAGU